This 63-nucleotide transfer RNA is filed under the name Plagiorchis multiglandularis. RNAcentral describes it as "tRNA-Met". The record is from RNAcentral. Lineage: Eukaryota; Metazoa; Platyhelminthes; Trematoda; Plagiorchiida; Plagiorchiidae.
AGGAGAUGUAAGUUAAAUUUAAACUGUAUGGUUCAUGUUCAUAAAAUAUUCUUUUCUUCUCCU